UACGUAGGGGGCAAGCGUUAUCCGGAUUUACUGGGUGUGAAGGGUGCGUAGACGGUCAGACAAGUCUGAAGUGAAAUGCAUGGGCUCAACUCAUGAACUGCUUUGGAAACUGCCUGACUGGAGUACAGGAGGGGUAAGCGGAAUUCCUGGUGUAGCGGUGAAAUGCUUAGAUAUCAGGAGGAACACCGGCGGCGAAGGCUGCUUACUGGACUGUAACUGACGUUGAGGCACGAAAGCGUGGGGAGCUAAC
This 250-nucleotide ribosomal RNA is filed under the name uncultured prokaryote. RNAcentral's name for it is "partial 16S ribosomal RNA". It matches the Rfam family "Bacterial small subunit ribosomal RNA", at positions 524 to 773 of the family's 1533-position model. The record is from RNAcentral.